GACGAACGCUGGCGGCGUGCUUAACACAUGCAAGUCGAACGGAAAGGCCCUGCUUUUGUGGGGUGCUCGAGUGGCGAACGAGUGAGUAACACGUGAGUAACCUGCCCUUGACUUUGGGAUAACUUCAGGAAACUGGGGCUAAUACCGGAUAGGAGCUCCUGCUGCAUGGUGGGGGUUGGAAAGUUUCGGCGGUUGGGGAUGGACUCGCGGCUUAUCAGCUUGUUGGUGGGGUAGUGGCUUACCAAGGCUUUGACGGGUAGCCGGCCUGAGAGGGUGACCGGCCACAUUGGGACUGAGAUACGGCCCAGACUCCUACGGGAGGCAGCAGUGGGGAAGAGUGCACAAUGGGCGGAAGCCUGAUGCAGCAACGCCGCGUGCGGGAUGACGGCCUGCGGGUUGUAAACCGCUUUCGCCUGUGACGAAGCGUGAGUGACGGUAAUGGGUAAAGAAGCACCGGCUAACUACGUG
This 468-nucleotide ribosomal RNA is filed under the name uncultured bacterium. Its description in RNAcentral is "partial 16S ribosomal RNA". It matches the Rfam family "Bacterial small subunit ribosomal RNA", at positions 28 to 507 of the family's 1533-position model. The record is from RNAcentral.